Molecule: ribosomal RNA, 253 nt
Filed under: uncultured prokaryote
Description: partial 16S ribosomal RNA
Rfam family: Bacterial small subunit ribosomal RNA
Source: RNAcentral
AACGUAGGAGACAAACGUUAUCCGGAGUUACUGGGCGUAAAGGGCGUGCAGGCGGUUCGAUAAGUCUGGCGUGAAAUCAUUCGGCUUAACCGGGUGAUGUCGUCGGAGACUGUCGGACUAGAGGAUGAUAGAGGCGUGUGGAAUUCCGGGUGUAGUGGUGAAAUGCGUAGAGAUCCGGAGGAACACCAGUGGCGAAGGCGACACGCUGGGUCAUACCUGACGCUAAAACGCGACAGCAUGGGGAGCGAACGGG